This 3408-nucleotide long non-coding RNA is filed under the name Neodiprion lecontei (redheaded pine sawfly). Its description in RNAcentral is "uncharacterized LOC124294249". The record is from RNAcentral. Lineage: Eukaryota; Metazoa; Arthropoda; Insecta; Hymenoptera; Diprionidae.
CGGAUGAUUUAUCUGCGAACAACGGGGAGAAAUUACAAGUUUUGUUAGUCUAGUUCCUAAUUUCUCGACUUUCCGCUCCAACUUUGCGGGUUCGGAGGGCGACGGUGGUAUUUUUGUCUGCCCUGGUUUGCCCUUGUUCCUAUUCCCCCCUCUCUCCCAACUCUCUCGUCUUUACCGUCGUUUUAAUCUUUUCGCUUUCGAGAUUUAUUCCCGUGAUUUACAGUUUGGAUUCGCACCAGGCGCUGUCAACCGUUGAGACAAAGGCGCCGCUCUCCGAUGAGACAGUUCUAUUCUCUCUAGUUCCACAAAGUAUCUCGCCUGCUUUCACGCCCGCCCAAACGAACGGAGAGCACAGCCGCGCUCUCUUCACCUCUGCACUCCAGCCGUUCUCCGCUACCCACCUUCAGUACAUCCGAGAUUGUCUUCUGUUCUCUUAUAUUACCGAUCCUCCCUCGCAAUACCAAUUCCUCGCCUUUCCUCACUCCCCAGUUCCAGCUUUGUCUUCUUUACGAACUGGUGAACAGGCGUCAAACAAUUAUACCGACUGUGAAGAACUCAAAGGCAAACCAAAGUGUUUUUCUAAUCUCAGUCGACAACCACCGUCACAGGAUUUAAUCAAUCAUCUUUAUUUCAGACCUCGGUAUUUUGUGAGAAACUUCGUAGGCACGAAGUUGAUAUAUAGAUGACUAAAAAAUCUUCACCACCUGUUUUCUUGUCACGUGAAAAACAAGUUGAGCUCUGAUCAAUUUAAAAUGACCGCUGUUGUCUCACUUGAAAUUUUAUUUCAACUCUAAGACUGUUUCCAGCGCCUACGGAUUAUCCAGCGCUACUUUGGCCGGGAGGAAAUGAUGGCAGAAGCGGUUUGGUUAUGGUUCCACUUGCAGCGAUAUCCUAAAAGCUCAAAAUUUCAAAUCCGAAAUGCACUAGUCCUUUCUACACUGUUCCAUCGUCCAUGGUUCACGGUCUUCAGAAAGCAGCAUUGAUCGAAAAAAAAAUGUUUGCACGUCUUAGCGUCCCGAUCUGUUUUUCCAUGAUGAAUGAAGUUGAACUGUUUUCUUUUUCAGACCAACCCGAAAGCUCGAAGACGCAUCGUUGAAGGCUUGGAUCAGACGCUGAGUCCAGGCGUAAUUUAUAUUCAUCGGAAAGUUUGAUACUUAGAUACAGUUGAGGAGUUAAGGCGGAGUGAUUUUCUUUCCGCCACUUCCUUCGGAACGAGGACAGAUAAUAAUGGAGAAUAGAAAAAUAUACUAGAAUGGACGGACGAAUAGCUGUCGCGGUUAGAAAGCCACCGCCGGCUGCGCCGAUCGACCUUUUAUUCGUCAACAAUCGAUCUCCAUAAAAUAGCGUUACGCCGCAAAAUGAGCUCCAAUCCUAUACGGGUAGUUCGAAUGCGGCGAACCCCUUCAGCGCACCCGAAUCCCAUUCCUAAUAUUGCGCACUUCUUCAAUACCGGGUUGAAAAAUUCCUCUCCGUUUUGGCAAGAAUCAAAAACGCUUUAUGUGAUAUUUUCCUUUAAAUUGUUGAAGUUGGAAUCUGACAGAAGUCAACUGUUUCGUGACCGUCUCUUGAUAUAAUUUUUAAAAAACCAUUGUUCCUUAUUCCCUGUGUACAUUAUACGUAUUCCCUGAAACCCCUGCGCCGUUGGUUAAUUUAAUUUGCGCGGGCACAAAAGGCGCUACCCACAAUACAACGAGACCGGUUUCCUUCCAGCCACCUUGAACGAUACCUUGAAACCGUUUACUCGUUUUACAGAAGGAAAAGCGCCUCAGUUUUCUGACAUUUUUUCGCCCGUGCACGUACAGCUUUCACACAUAUAUUGGCAUCAUGAACGCCUUAUUCGAGAGAUCGAAUUCUGCAGUCCUGAUUCGUUAGAAUCGUCAAGGAUGGUGAAAAAAAAUCAGUAAUCUAAUUUCAUACCGCGGAAAUCAGCGCCGAUGCAUGCAAUGGCAAAUUUUCGGGGCAAACACAAUGCGCAGAGUAGCAAAUAGAAAAAAUCUCUCGGACAUCGGAGAGAGUGAAUUCAUGUACAUAUAUGGGGGAUAACGAGCGGCAGGUUGUCCUAGAAAUUGCGUCUAUUUAUUGAUCGCCCGUAUAUACAUAUUCACCUGUGCAUUACACUCGCCUAGAUACGUCGAGAUGUGACGACAUAUUCGUCCAGCUCUAAAAAUUUCGACUUGCCAACGAGCGCGUUUUAUGCAUAAAAUAUUUCGGAGGAAACGAGGAUGAAAAAAGUUAAUGAGUGGCUAAGCGGGAAAGUAUUAACUCAUAUAUCUGUUUUACUGGCAAAAAAUUCGGGCCGUUCGCGCUGCACUCGCCCGUGCUAUUAGCUCUUAAGUUAAGCCGGAAAUUCGAAUCCGGAUCUGCGCAGCCCCAGCUGCCGGGCGGCAAAGAGCCCUAAAGAAAUUUAUACCCUCUUUCAACCUCUUUGGAAAAAUACCUACGGCCAACCCUUCUCGCCGCUGCUGAACCUUAGCCCAACCCUCGAUCAACCCCUUAACCUCUUCACAGUCCCAGUGUAUCGGUGUACCGCUGAACUCUUUGGACUGCUCAGAUUCUUCCCAAUUUAUCGGCGAUCCUUCCCCGAAUGUACAAUCUAACGUGACUCCGUGUAUUUCAGUUUUCACGAUUACUUGACAAUAGCGUGAUAUAGCAGUUCUGUGAUGGAAUUGGUUUGUUGGUAGAGGAAGAAUGACACAUCAUCAUUUUUAUCUUGUAAUUUUUUAUUGAAAAAACAACAGAGUACAAUCAUCAUAUCACACAUCAUACAUAGUAUUAAAGUUCGAAACCAAAUCUUGGAUGACCGGAUGUUCAGAAAGUGACGUCACCCAAAAUUUUUUUUUUCCUGACGUCAUCGAUCUAUAGUAAUCGUCGACCACGAAAAUCAGCUAGCGGAAUUCCUCAGUCUGGAAACAACCGCGCAGUAGAGAGGACGGAUGAGAAUCGCAUUCCGCGGAUUUCGAGUACCAGGUUCUCUACCUCCUGGAUCCUGCGUUCCAGGUCCGCUACCUGGUGAAACUGGACUUCCGGGACAAGUGCUCCGUAGUUUCUGCGCUCCAGGUUCUCCACCCGGUGAAAUUCGACCUCCAGAACAAGCGCUGCGUGGUUCCUGCGCUCCAGGUCCUUCACCUGGUGAAUUUCGUCCUCUAGGACCAGCGCUCCGAAGUUCCUCAUAGUUGCUGCGCUGCCGGUGAUUUACCUAAUGAAUAGCGACUUCCAGGUCCUCUACCUGGUGAAUUUCGACCUCCAGGACCAGUGCUCCGUAGUUCUUGCUCAGUGCAGUGAGCAGUGAGAUCGUUUGAAAAUUCAUCAGAAUGUUACGGGGUGGACGAUUGUAAUCAAGACGAGCGGCUAUCGCAGAGAGGAACUUGUACUGAGGAGUUAAAUGUUUGAGUACAUAAUUGAUGUAUU